GAUGAACGCUGGCGGCGUGCCUAAUACAUGCAAGUCGAGCGAACAGACGAGGAGCUUGCUCCCCUGACGUUAGCGGCGGACGGGUGAGUAACACGUGGAUAACCUACCUAUAAGACUGGGAUAACUUCGGGAAACCGGAGCUAAUACCGGAUAAUAUAUUGAACCGCAUGGUUCAAUAGUGAAAGACGGUUUUGCUGUCACUUAUAGAUGGAUCCGCGACGCAUUAGCUAGUUGGUAAGGUAACGGCUUACCAAGGCAACGAUGCGUAGCCGACCUGAGAGGGUGAUCGGCCACACUGGAACUGAGACACGGUCCAGACUCCUACGGGAGGCAGCAGUAGGGAAUCUUCCGCAAUGGGCGAAAGCCUGACGGAGCAACGCCGCGUGAGUGAUGAAGGUCUUCGGAUCGUAAAACUCUGUUAUUAGGGAAGAACAAAUGUGUAAGUAACUAUGCACGUCUUGACGGUACCUAAUCAGAAAGCCACGGCUAACUACGUG
Molecule: ribosomal RNA, 497 nt
Filed under: uncultured bacterium
Lineage: Bacteria
Description: partial 16S ribosomal RNA
Rfam family: Bacterial small subunit ribosomal RNA
Source: RNAcentral